This 258-nucleotide ribosomal RNA is filed under the name uncultured prokaryote. Its description in RNAcentral is "partial 16S ribosomal RNA". It matches the Rfam family "Bacterial small subunit ribosomal RNA", at positions 524 to 780 of the family's 1533-position model. The record is from RNAcentral.
UACGUAGGUGGCAAGCGUUGUCCGGAAUUAUUGGACGUAAAGCGCGCGCAGGCGGUCUUUUUAAGUCUGAUGUGAGAGCCCACGGCUCAACCGUGGAGGGUCAUUGGAAACUGGGAGACUUGAGUGCAGAAGAGAAGAGUGGAAUUCCAUGUGUAGCGGUGAAAUGCGUAGAGAUAUGGAGGAACACCAGUGGCGAAGGCGACUCUUUGGUCUGUAACUGACGCUGAGGCGCGAAAGCGUGGGGAGCAAACAGGAUUA